RNAcentral lists this RNase P RNA (380 nucleotides) under Candidatus Freyrarchaeum guaymasense. Its description in RNAcentral is "RNase P RNA component". It matches the Rfam family "Archaeal RNase P". From Rfam's summary of the family: Ribonuclease P (RNase P) is a ubiquitous endoribonuclease, found in archaea, bacteria and eukarya as well as chloroplasts and mitochondria. Its best characterised activity is the generation of mature 5'-ends of tRNAs by cleaving the 5'-leader elements of precursor-tRNAs. The record is from RNAcentral. Lineage: Archaea; Promethearchaeati; Candidatus Freyarchaeota; Candidatus Freyrarchaeia; Candidatus Freyrarchaeales; Candidatus Freyrarchaeaceae.
AUGAGCAGAAGGACGGCUGCCGGUGCCUUUUGGCGCUGAGGAAAUCCAUCCAUCAUGUGGGGCUCGAGCACUGCAAAGUGCAGGCUGAGAAGCCUGGCAAUGGAGCAGAAAUCCUUUCAAAAGAGGACUGCAAACGAUACAUCCAUCUGAGAGAUGACCAUGAUGCGGAUUAAACUUGUAAACCUGUAGAAAUUCCUCUACAGAAAACCGCAGAGGACUCGGAUGGGAGUGUUGAAACGGCCAGCCUCGAGGAUGCAAGUCCAAAUAGGCUGCCGAUGAUCCCCACAAGAGGCGGCGGGUAGGACGCUAAGCUGAAUGCCGUCAAGAGAUCGAAUGGUAACAUCGAUCUCUGAACAGAAGAUGGAUUACUCUCUGCACAU